CUUGAUAUUUUAUCAGAUUUUUGCUUUUAUUAUUUCAAGGCUACAUUGUUAAAUGUAUAAAUACUCAUGAGCAUUGUACAGUUUGGGUUUGUUAAUAUUCAUUAUUAUGAUUUGAAUCUGGAAUAUCUCCCAAAGGUUCAAAUGCUUUAGGUCUCUGGUGCAGCAAUGUUCAGAGGUGGGGUUUGGGGGACAUGAUUGGAUUCUGUGCACUCUAAGCUCAUUGGUAGAUCAGUGAAUUGAUCUAGUUGAUGGACUAAUAAUGUGAAAGAACUGCUGGGAGGAGAUAGAAAUUGUAGGCAGCGGGGCAUGGUUGGAGAAAGCAGGACAUGGGAGAAGUGCCUGUGGGACUAUAUCUUGUCCUUGAUUCCUGACCUGCUUGCUGGUUGCAAUGAGCUGAACAGCUUUCUUCUACCUUGCCCUUCACCUUGAUGUUUUACUUCACCUCAGAUCCAAAACAAUAUAGCCAGUCGAC
RNAcentral lists this long non-coding RNA (472 nucleotides) under Marmota monax (woodchuck). The record is from RNAcentral. Lineage: Eukaryota; Metazoa; Chordata; Mammalia; Rodentia; Sciuridae.